This 233-nucleotide long non-coding RNA is filed under the name Manihot esculenta (cassava). RNAcentral's name for it is "long non-coding RNA (MESC_LNC001684)". The record is from RNAcentral. Lineage: Eukaryota; Viridiplantae; Streptophyta; Magnoliopsida; Malpighiales; Euphorbiaceae.
CUGGAGUCCUCUUUCGGCCGCCGAAGGUGACUGAUUUUUGGCUUCCGAAAGUUGCCUCCGAAGGUUGCUUCUCUAGUUUUGGCUUCUUUUGGCAUUUUUAAGAGCAUUUUCUCCAAAUUGUUUCUUCACACCUAAUACUUGCAAAACAUGAUUAAAACCACAAAAUUAGGUAGAAUAGGUACAAAUAAACAUCAGUAAGAUCAUGAAAAUAUGGGCUAAAAUAUGCUCUAUCA